This 251-nucleotide ribosomal RNA is filed under the name uncultured Anaerococcus sp. RNAcentral's name for it is "partial 16S ribosomal RNA". It matches the Rfam family "Bacterial small subunit ribosomal RNA", at positions 89 to 339 of the family's 1533-position model. Lineage: Bacteria; Bacillati; Bacillota; Tissierellia; Tissierellales; Peptoniphilaceae. The record is from RNAcentral.
GGAUUAGUGGCGAACGGGUGAGUAACGCGUGAGUAACCUGCCUUACACAAGGGGAUAGCCUCUGGAAACGGAGAAUAAUACCCUAUGAAAUUACAUUCUCGCAUGAGAAAAUAAUCAAAAUGUUUAGUGGUGUAAGAUGGACUUGCGUCUGAUUAGCUAGUUGGUGAGAUAACAGCUCACCAAGGCAACGAUCAGUAGCCGGCUUGAGAGAGUGUACGGCCACAUUGGGACUGAGACACGGCCCAGACUCC